Molecule: ribosomal RNA, 800 nt
Filed under: Salinibacterium amurskyense
Lineage: Bacteria; Bacillati; Actinomycetota; Actinomycetes; Micrococcales; Microbacteriaceae
Description: bacterial SSU rRNA
Rfam family: Bacterial small subunit ribosomal RNA
Source: RNAcentral
GUGAGGAGCUGGAAAGAAUUUCGGUCAAGGAUGGACUCGCGGCCUAUCAGGUAGUUGGUGAGGUAAUGGCUCACCAAGCCUACGACGGGUAGCCGGCCUGAGAGGGUGACCGGCCACACUGGAACUGAGACACGGUCCAGACUCCUACGGGAGGCAGCAGUGGGGAAUAUUGCACAAUGGGCGCAAGCCUGAUGCAGCAACGCCGCGUGAGGGACGACGGCCUUCGGGUUGUAAACCUCUUUUAGUAGGGAAGAAGCGAAAGUGACGGUACCUGCAGAAAAAGCACCGGCUAACUACGUGCCAGCAGCCGCGGUAAUACGUAGGGUGCAAGCGUUAUCCGGAAUUAUUGGGCGUAAAGAGCUCGUAGGCGGUUUGUCGCGUCUGCUGUGAAAACUGGGGGCUCAACCCCCAGCCUGCAGUGGGUACGGGCAGACUAGAGUGCGGUAGGGGAGAUUGGAAUUCCUGGUGUAGCGGUGGAAUGCGCAGAUAUCAGGAGGAACACCGAUGGCGAAGGCAGAUCUCUGGGCCGUAACUGACGCUGAGGAGCGAAAGCAUGGGGAGCGAACAGGAUUAGAUACCCUGGUAGUCCAUGCCGUAAACGUUGGGAACUAGAUGUAGGGGCCAUUCCACGGUUCUGUGUCGCAGCUAACGCAUUAAGUUCCCCGCCUGGGGAGUACGGCCGCAAGGCUAAAACUCAAAGGAAUUGACGGGGGCCCGCACAAGCGGCGGAGCAUGCGGAUUAUUUCGAUGCAACGCGAAGAUCUUACCAAGACUUGACAUAUACGAGAACGGCUUAGAAA